UGGGGAAUUUUGGACAAUGGGCGAAAGCCUGAUCCAGCAAUGCCGCGUGUGUGAAGAAGGCCUUCGGGCUGUAAAGCACUUUUGUCCGGAAAGAAAUCCUUGGCUCUAAUACAGUCGGGGGAUGACGGUACCGGAAGAAUAAGCACCGGCUAACUACGUGCCAGCAGCCGCGGUAAUACGUAGGGUGCAAGCGUUAAUCGGAAUUACUGGGCGUAAAGCGUGCGCAGGCGGUUUGCUAAGACCGAUGUGAAAUCCCCGGGCUCAACCUGGGAACUGCAUUGGUGACUGGCAGGCUAGAGUAUGGCAGAGGGGGGUAGAAUUCCACGUGUAGCAGUGAAAUGCGUAGAGAUGUGGAGGAAUACCGAUGGCGAAGGCAGCCCCCUGGGCCAAUACUGACGCUCAUGCACGAAAGCGUGGGGAGCAAAACAGGAUUAGAUACCCUGGUAGUCCACGCCCUAAACGAUGUCAACUAGUUGUUGGGGAUUCAUUUCCUUAGUAACGUAGCUAACGCGUGAAGUUGACCGCCUGGGGAGUAC
Molecule: ribosomal RNA, 536 nt
Filed under: uncultured bacterium
Lineage: Bacteria
Description: partial 16S ribosomal RNA
Rfam family: Bacterial small subunit ribosomal RNA
Source: RNAcentral